Molecule: long non-coding RNA, 281 nt
Filed under: Miscanthus lutarioriparius
Lineage: Eukaryota; Viridiplantae; Streptophyta; Magnoliopsida; Poales; Poaceae
Description: MluLR2250
Source: RNAcentral
ACCAACUCCUGCUUCCUCUCUCCCUAUAAUUUAUCAAUUCCACGAACGGUGUUGUUCGUUUUUUUUGCUUGAUCAGUGAACGGCAUCGAGGUUAGAUUAGCGCCGUCAUGAGUUGAUCACUGUUUUACUUUCGGAUUAGUAAUUUAACAUAGUGAGCUCCUGAGUCCAUUUCAGUGGACUUCUAAUGUGUUCUUUUGCGUAACUCGAUAGCUCUUUCUGUCAGGCUCCACGGUUUUCUGUUCAUGGAACGUUUGAGCAACCUAUUGCUUUUUUUUUAAGAA